Molecule: ribosomal RNA, 513 nt
Filed under: uncultured bacterium
Lineage: Bacteria
Description: partial 16S ribosomal RNA
Rfam family: Bacterial small subunit ribosomal RNA
Source: RNAcentral
GAUGAACGCUGGCGGCGUGCCUAAUACAUGCAAGUCGAGCGGACCAAAGAGAGCUUGCUCUCUGAGGUUAGCGGCGGACGGGUGAGUAACACGUGGGUAACCUGCCUGUAAGACGGGGAUAACUUCGGGAAACCGAAGCUAAUACCGGAUGAUAAAGAGAAACGCCUGUUUCUUUUUUGAAAGUCGGCCUUGUGCUGACGCUUACAGAUGGGCCCGCGGCGCAUUAGCUAGUUGGUGAGGUAACGGCUCACCAAGGCGACGAUGCGUAGCCGACCUGAGAGGGUGAUCGGCCACACUGGGACUGAGACACGGCCCAGACUCCUACGGGAGGCAGCAGUAGGGAAUCUUCGGCAAUGGGCGAAAGUCUGACCGAGCAACGCCGCGUGAGCGAUGAAGGCCUUCGGGUCGUAAAGCUCUGUUGUCAGAGAAGAACAAGUACCGGAGUAACUGCCGGUACCUUGACGGUACCUGACCAGAAAGCCACGGCUAACUACGUGCCAGCCGCCGCUGUAA